GGGGGGCGGGGUCUAUAUAGCAGUCGAGCGGACAGAUGGGAGCUUGCUCCCUGAUGUUAGCGGCGGACGGGUGAGUAACACGUGGGUAACCUGCCUGUAAGACUGGGAUAACUCCGGGAAACCGGGGCUAAUACCGGAUGGUUGUCUGAACCGCAUGGUUCAGACAUAAAAGGUGGCUUCGGCUACCACUUACAGAUGGACCCGCGGCGCAUUAGCUAGUUGGUGAGGUAACGGCUCACCAAGGCGACGAUGCGUAGCCGACCUGAGAGGGUGAUCGGCCACACUGGGACUGAGACACGGCCCAGACUCCUACGGGAGGCAGCAGUAGGGAAUCUUCCGCAAUGGACGAAAGUCUGACGGAGCAACGCCGCGUGAGUGAUGAAGGUUUUCGGAUCGUAAAGCUCUGUUGUUAGGGAAGAACAAGUGCCGUUCAAAUAGGGCGGCACCUUGACGGUACCUAACCAGAAAGCCACGGCUAACUACGUGCCAGCAGCCGCGGUAAUACGUAGGUGGCAAGCGUUGUCCGGAAUUAUUGGGCGUAAAGGGCUCGCAGGCGGUUUCUUAAGUCUGAUGUGAAAGCCCCCGGCUCAACCGGGGAGGGUCAUUGGAAACUGGGGAACUUGAGUGCAGAAGAGGAGAGUGGAAUUCCACGUGUAGCGGUGAAAUGCGUAGAGAUGUGGAGGAACACCAGUGGCGAAGGCGACUCUCUGGUCUGUAACUGACGCUGAGGAGCGAAAGCGUGGGGAGCGAACAGGAUUAGAUACCCUGGUAGUCCACGCCGUAAACGAUGAGUGCUAAGUGUUAGGGGGUUUCCGCCCCUUAGUGCUGCAGCUAACGCAUUAAGCACUCCGCCUGGGGAGUACGGUCGCAAGACUGAAACUCAAAGGAAUUGACGGGGGCCCGCACAAGCGGUGGAGCAUGUGGUUAAUUCCAAGCAACGCGAAAAACC
Molecule: ribosomal RNA, 949 nt
Filed under: Bacillus sp. (in: firmicutes)
Lineage: Bacteria; Bacillati; Bacillota; Bacilli; Caryophanales; Bacillaceae
Description: bacterial SSU rRNA
Rfam family: Bacterial small subunit ribosomal RNA
Source: RNAcentral